AGCAGUCGCCGCGGUAAUACGAAGGGGGCUAGCGUUGUUCGGAUUUACUGGGCGUAAAGCGCACGUAGGCGGACUUUUAAGUCAGGGGUGAAAUCCCGGGGCUCAACCCCGGAACUGCCUUUGAUACUGGAAGUCUUGAGUAUGGUAGAGGUGAGUGGAAUUCCGAGUGUAGAGGUGAAAUUCGUAGAUAUUCUGAGGAACACCAGUGGCGAAGGCGGCUCACUGGACCAUUACUGACGCUGAGGUGCGAAAGCGUGGGGAGCAAACAGGAUUAGAUACCCGCGUAGUCCCUGUCUCUUAUAC
RNAcentral lists this ribosomal RNA (303 nucleotides) under uncultured bacterium. Its description in RNAcentral is "partial 16S ribosomal RNA". It matches the Rfam family "Bacterial small subunit ribosomal RNA", at positions 507 to 807 of the family's 1533-position model. The record is from RNAcentral.